GAAUCUUUUUUUUUUUUUCAAUUUACUAAGUGUCGAGCGAUUAUUCUGGAUCACGAUUCCACGCUCUCUAAUAUUUGCUGUGCCGAAUUUAAACUUUAACUCGAUCUAUUUUUCGAUUGUGAAGUGCCUGUGAACUCGUUUCAAUCGACUGAAGUAGCGACUGUCGGUGCUGGACGUGAUGGACAGAAUGUGCGUGUAUAGGCGUUGUGUAUUUUUAAAUAUUCGUUUAGUAGUGAUUCAUUAGGUGAUGCAAUAGCUUCGCAAAUCAAUUUUUCAUUUCCGCUGAAAGGUGUUCAGUAUGACUGCUAAAUAGAAAGAGGGUUAUGAUAGUUUUGGAUGGAAUAAUAUGUUAACAAUAGGGUGGUUCAGUUUAAGUUUAGUUAUUGACAAAUCUAAAUUUUACUUAUUCGAGGAUGAUGGUGGGUUGUUCUUCUGUCUUUUGAGAUGACACCUCAAUCAAGUUAUUUGGGUUUUGUCGCAACUUAUCAUCUUUGCGAAGGCGGAACUGCUCACGUAUGGAAACAAUUUUUUCUCCGAGAAAAGCUAAAAGGGAAAGGCUCAAUCCAACCGAUAAAACGACAAAUGCGCCAGUCAAAUUUUUCAGGGACAGGGGUGACAGUUUCUUUGUUUUGUUUCCAGUUUGGGGUUUUCCGGUACAUUGAGGAGGCAUUGGACGGAACCAAGUGUCCCAGAAGUUGACCAGGGCAAUUUCUUGCAGAUUCAAUAUUCUAUUUUCAUUGUGCCAAAGAAUGAAACCAAAAUUCCAGUAAUUAACAAAAUCUUAUCUCAUCUAUUGAAGCUAGCUGUACCAGCUUACCCUUGCUGCAUGCUUUGCGUGUAGGGACUGUUUUUCUGUAGAACAAGCGUCGACAUAAUGGCAAUGAACUCUUCUUUUGCUAUUUGCAAGUUGCACUUUCCAGUCUUUUUAAAAUCAUUCCUGAUCGCGUCUUUGAGAAAAAGAACAGCAAACUAACUAUAUUUUACCUCGAGGAAUACGAUUUUAGAUUCUGGUUUAUUAUGGCGGAUACAGUCUGACACUGUUGCGCAUCGAGAGUUUGGAAAGGAGUCGAUUUUUUCCCUUAAAUUCCCGAACAGGCCCGUGUAAUUGUUGGACUGUUGCACGUUACAAUUAAUAUAGUAUUCAUAGAUCCGGAUUCCCUGACCAGUAAAUUGAUGUCGCCAUUGUUGAUAACGUCGUAGACAGAAUCGACUAGGGGAUGACUGAUUGGCGUCACGACAUAAGUGAAGAGAGUCGACGUGUAGGCCUGGACGAAGACGAAAGCGGCCAAGAUCCAAACGCCUGCGACCACUCGGUAGGGUAAUCUUUUCGAUUUACAAGAUCCACCUAAUCAAUAAUUAAGAGGUUUUGACUUAUACUUAUUAAGUCAUUUGGUAUCCGUGUGUGGAACCUUGCGACAGCAAAUUGCCGAAGACGUAAAGAUACUGUUGUCUGGUUUCCCAUUUGGCAGCCGUUAGAUUGUAGUUUUGUCUAAAUGUCGCUUCAAUCAUGGAUCGAUAUUGCAAGUAGCGCUGGAUUAAAUUUAAAACUACGAUGACGCAAACGAUCGAAAUCCCCAGUCCUAACCAAACCUGGUGAUCGAAUAAAAUUAGAUGCUGUUUAAUAAGAAAUAUCGUGGCAAGUUAUUUCAAUUUUCCAACCGGCCAUUGAAAUGGUUUGACGACGGCGUUGAUGUUGGCCGAUUCAUCAGGGACGGGAAUGAGGAAAGCGAAAUGAUCGUAAAUCCACGGCAAUGUGAAAUCUACGACCGAAUUGUACUGGAAGCUCGCGCUCGUAUCGUGGACCAGCAAAUCGGAUUGCUGUGAAAGAGAAUGGAAUGAACUUAACUUGAUUCGACAAAUAGCUAAAAAGUCCUGGUCCUUUUUCUGAUGGCUCAGGUUUGUUUUCCGUCACUCGAACCAUUUCGUACCUGUAUGGAUAAUGAAAUAAGGUAAUGUGUUAGACGUCAGUCGAGUCACUUUCUUUUUUUGUUGGUUACGUGAAAUUUAAACGUUGCGAUAAGAAUUCGAGGAGUACUCCUCCCUUGAGUGGUCCAAUUAUUCCUUUAGGGUUUCCACUCCAACGUGUCUGUACCGCAUCAUUAUAGGUUAAUUCAACUUUAUUUUCAACAUUGAAUCGCACUAAAUCGUUGGUGUUUUCCUACCCAAAUGACGCGGAGGUGUUGGCCGUUGAGUGUGUUUGCCAUUGAUGAGGAACUGGGAAU
Molecule: long non-coding RNA, 2222 nt
Organism: Daphnia pulex (common water flea)
Lineage: Eukaryota; Metazoa; Arthropoda; Branchiopoda; Diplostraca; Daphniidae
Exons: 4
Source: RefSeq, a predicted model, not a curated record